This 558-nucleotide ribosomal RNA is filed under the name uncultured Marinobacter sp. Its description in RNAcentral is "bacterial SSU rRNA". It matches the Rfam family "Bacterial small subunit ribosomal RNA", at positions 870 to 1428 of the family's 1533-position model. Lineage: Bacteria; Pseudomonadati; Pseudomonadota; Gammaproteobacteria; Pseudomonadales; Marinobacteraceae. The record is from RNAcentral.
CGCCUGGGGAGUACGGCCGCAAGGUUAGAACUCAAAUGAAUUGACGGGGGCCCGCACAAGCGGUGGAGCAUGUGGUUUAAUUCGACGCAACGCGAAGAACCUUACCUGGCCUUGACAUGCAGAGAACUUUCCAGAGAUGGAUUGGUGCCUUCGGGAACUCUGACACAGGUGCUGCAUGGCCGUCGUCAGCUCGUGUCGUGAGAUGUUGGGUUAAGUCCCGUAACGAGCGCAACCCCUAUCCCUAGUUGCUAGCAGUUCGGCUGAGAACUCUAGGGUGACUGCCGGUGACAAACCGGAGGAAGGUGGGGAUGACGUCAGGUCAUCAUGGCCCUUACGGCCAGGGCUACACACGUGCUACAAUGGUGCGCACAGAGGGCUGCAAACCCGCGAGGGGGAGCCAAUCUCACAAAACGCAUCGUAGUCCGGAUCGCAGUCUGCAACUCGACUGCGUGAAGUCGGAAUCGCUAGUAAUCGUGAAUCAGAAUGUCACGGUGAAUACGUUCCCGGGCCUUGUACACACCGCCCGUCACACCAUGGGAGUGGAUUGCACCAGAAGUG